This 497-nucleotide ribosomal RNA is filed under the name uncultured bacterium. RNAcentral's name for it is "partial 16S ribosomal RNA". It matches the Rfam family "Bacterial small subunit ribosomal RNA", at positions 28 to 507 of the family's 1533-position model. The record is from RNAcentral.
GAUGAACGCUGGCGGCGUGCCUAAUACAUGCAAGUCGAGCGAACGGACGAGAAGCUUGCUUCUCUGAUGUUAGCGGCGGACGGGUGAGUAACACGUGGAUAACCUACCUAUAAGACUGGGAUAACUUCGGGAAACCGUAGCUAAUACCGGAUAAUAUUUUGAACCGCAUGGUUCAAAAGUGAAAGACGGUCUUGCUGUCACUUAUAGAUGGAUCCGCGCUGCAUUAGCUAGUUGGUAAGGUAACGGCUUACCAAGGCAACGAUGCAUAGCCGACCUGAGAGGGUGAUCGGCCACACUGGAACUGAGACACGGUCCAGACUCCUACGGGAGGCAGCAGUAGGGAAUCUUCCGCAAUGGGCGAAAGCCUGACGGAGCAACGCCGCGUGAGUGAUGACGGUCUUCGGAUCGUAAAACUCUGUUAUUAGGGAAGAACAUAUGUGUAAGUAACUGUGCACAUCUUGACGGUACCUAAUCAGAAAGCCACGGCUAACUACGUG